Molecule: non-coding RNA, 27 nt
Filed under: Mus musculus (house mouse)
Lineage: Eukaryota; Metazoa; Chordata; Mammalia; Rodentia; Muridae
Source: RNAcentral
UAAAACAUAAUGUGUACCGUUGAUGAC